GACGAACGCUGGCGGCGUGCUUAACACAUGCAAGUCGAACGGAAAGGCCCUGCUUUUGUGGGGUGCUCGAGUGGCGAACGGGUGAGUAACACGUGAGUAACCUGCCCUUGACUUUGGGAUAACUUCAGGAAACUGGGGCUAAUACCGGAUAGGAUCUCCUGCUGCAUGGUGGGGGGUGGAAAGUUUCGGCGGUUGGGGAUGGACUCGCGGCUUAUCAGCUUGUUGGUGGGGUAGUGGCUUACCAAGGCCUUGACGGGUAGCCGGCCUGAGAGGGUGACCGGCCACAUUGGGACUGAGAUACGGCCCAGACUCCUACGGGAGGCAGCAGUGGGGAAUAUUGCACAAUGGGCGGAAGCCUGAUGCAGCAACGCCGCGUGCGGGAUGACGGCCUUCGGGUUGUAAACCGCUUUCGCCUGUGACGAAGCGUGAGUGACGGUAAUGGGUAAAGAAGCACCGGCUAACUACGUG
Molecule: ribosomal RNA, 468 nt
Filed under: uncultured bacterium
Lineage: Bacteria
Description: partial 16S ribosomal RNA
Rfam family: Bacterial small subunit ribosomal RNA
Source: RNAcentral